UUCUGGUUUUUGUUUUUUGUUUGUUUGUUUGUUUGUUUGUUUUUAUGGAGUGCCAUUUCUACUUGAAAGAAUAGUAGAAAAACUGGUUUUUCAGACUUGGGUAUUGGGCAGACAUUUUCUUGAAAAUGAAUGUGUGAACCUUCAAAGUAAACAUUGACUGUAUUUGUCACCAACAAUAAUACUUGAGCUUUCAAGCAAAAUCAGAAUUUUGCAAAACUUGCAUCCACAAUCAUAGCCUAAGGAUUUUCUGAAGCAAUCUGUGGUGAUAAUGAAAAAGGCUAAAGGCUUUUUUUCUCCUUGGAGGAGAAAUGAUGGAGGAUCCAGAGCCUAAUGUUGAUCUUCCUCGGUUUUACUAUGACCAUUGUAAUUCAUAUAACAUCAAACCCAUGGCCAUUUAAUAAAGAAUACCAUUGCUGUAGUAACAAGGUGACCCUGGGUAAGGCUAGACCCAAGAUUGUUUGAGCCCUUAGUAAGGAGUAUCUGAAAAGAUGUCAAUCUGGAACUGUAAUGUCUUCUCCUGGGUGAGGUAGAGGUGGUGUUUGAGCUCAUAUACUGAGGAUGGAUGCAUCAGCAUCUCUUGGUUCAAUUCCAGCUAUUAGGGUAGUCCACCCAGCUUCCUUUACUCUAGCAGUGGAAACUUCAAUCCACUUCUGAUGAAAUGUAUUCUGGCACAGAGAAAUGUAAAUCUGGCCUUAUGAAUGAGCUAAGAAUCACACAAUAAGCAAAUAUUUCAUUUCCUGAAGUCUCAGUUUUUGUGUCUUAAAUCACAUUACAUGUGAAAGAUCAACAGCAUAGCCCAGGUGUGGCUGAGACAUAAGAAUAGUUAUUUGAAAAGAUUUAACUUUACAGGAAAUGUACUGUUCUAUUAUUCCUAAAAUAUGACUGUUGAAACAUUCUUUAGACAUUCUGUACUAUAGUUUUUACUUUUUACAUUGUGUGUCCAGGGCAUGGGUAAAAUGGAACAAUUCUUACAACCAUGUUUGCACUGAAUAGUGCUUCCUUGCUUUAAUUUAUUGGUCUGGGUAAACAAUCGGAUUAUGAAGUGAUCAUGUUCUUUUUCUUCAAUAAUAUGAACAGAUAAAUGCAAAGACUGAGAACACAGGGCUGUUGUUUUACUCGCCAAGCACAAGGCUGAAGUGAUACAAACUGCUGCUAUUGGAAUCCCUAAUGCUGCACCUGUUUCCACCUUUCAUCAGGAUAUAUUGUUGGUGAAAGGAGUAACAUCUAUUAAAUUCAUCCACAGAAGGUUUUCAUCAAUUGCUACUUCAGCCAACUGUGUUGGUGUCAAUGUCCCACUGGUAUCUACUUCAUUUUUUAUUACAUUUUUUAUUUGUACUCAAGUGUGUUUUAUAAACGUAAAUCUCUAUCUAUUCCAGAUUUUAUAAGAAUAUUACUUUAUCUUGUUAGUGUCCACCAAAAUGUCUUAAUUCAUAGUGUUCAAGCUCUCUAGAUCUAACAGUUCGUUCCAUGUUUCAAAAAGAUCAGUUUCUUAUCUUUGGUUCCAAGGUAAAUAUAACAAUAUAUAACAACUCUCCUCCUUGGAAGAUUGAAUUAGCUAGCAUAUUUUCAAAUUAUCAGAUACACUGAUUAGUUCAUCCACUGUCAUGUGUCCCAAGACAAUAUUAAGAUUGCUUUGAGUGAAGUGUUGUCAUACUCACAAAGUCAUCUGCUAGACUGCCUUUUACAAAUUCUUAUGGCAUGCUCAUACCCCAAAGCACACUGUAUUUAUCUUUCUGGUGUUUUAAAUGUCUUCAUAAUAGACCCAUAACACAAUGAAUUACUAAUUUCACAACCCAGUACUAUUAACUUCAUCUUUAAUAAAAGCGGCUCUCUAAUACAGGAAUUCACCAACUGUCCUCGGUAUAUCAUACUUCAAAGAUAGCAAAAAGAACAAUAAUGUUUCCAUUUACAGAGAACAAUAACAUUUUGUACAUAGCCUAUGACUGAUAACAUAUGAAAAAUUCUGCCAAAAAGUGGAGGAGACUAUGGCAUAUUCAAUGUCUGGGGCUGGGAAAAAGAAGUAAAAUUACUUCUCUAUUUCAUACCACUCAUAAAAGUACAUACCAGAAAGAUUAAACACACACACACACACACACACACACACACACACACACACACAAUUUUUUUAAGUUUGAAGAAAAUAUAAAAAAAUUAUUUUAAAACUGUGGGGUGAGAAAAGUCUGCCUCAGCAUGAUCCCAAAACUAGAGACCCUAAAGGGAAAGGUUGAGUGAUAGGACUACCUAAAAAUGUAGAUCAUCUACACAGAAGGACAUGAACAAAGUUAAAUGAAGUAAGAGAUGCAUGGAAAGAUACACAUGAUUUGUUUUAAGUGAAAUAAAAGUUGCAAAACAGAACAAUGGACGAUCAGUUAAUUUUCUGUUAAAAAUGUGAAUACAUAUAUCAUUUAUGUUUCUAUAUGCAUAAAACAUAUUAGACUUGUAAUAGUAGCUAACUGUAAUGAUGGGUAAGAAAAAGGCAGUUUUAUGUUUCACUUUAUAUGUUUAUCUGUUUUAAUUUUUAAUAAGCAUGAGUUAUUUCUAUGGUUUAAUAAAAUAAAAUAAAGAAGAUUAAAAAUGA
Long non-coding RNA from Felis catus (domestic cat), 2578 nucleotides. RefSeq lists it as uncharacterized. Lineage: Eukaryota; Metazoa; Chordata; Mammalia; Carnivora; Felidae. The record is from RefSeq and is a predicted model, not a curated record. The transcript is spliced from 2 exons.